This 207-nucleotide ribosomal RNA is filed under the name Bacillus thuringiensis. RNAcentral describes it as "partial 16S ribosomal RNA". It matches the Rfam family "Bacterial small subunit ribosomal RNA", at positions 332 to 528 of the family's 1533-position model. The record is from RNAcentral. Lineage: Bacteria; Bacillati; Bacillota; Bacilli; Caryophanales; Bacillaceae.
UUUACUCCUACGGGAGGCAGCAGUCAGGGAAUCUUCCGCAAUGGACGAAAGUCUGACCGGAGCAACGCCGCGUGAGUGAUGAGGCUUUCGGGUCGUAAAACUCUGUUGUUAGGGAAGAACAAGUGCUAGUUGAAUAAGCUGGCACCUUGACGGUACCUAACCAGAAAGCCACGGCUAACUACGUGCGCAGCAGCCGCGGUAAUAAAA